AGUGAACGCUGGCGGUAGGCCUAACACAUGCAAGUCGAACGGCAGCACAGGAGAGCUUGCUCUCUGGGUGGCGAGUGGCGGACGGGUGAGGAAUACAUCGGAAUCUACUUUUUCGUGAGGGAUAACGUAGGGAAACUUACGCUAAUACCGCAUACGACCUACGGGUGAAGGCAGGGGAUCUUCGGACCUUGCGCGAUUGAAUGAGCCGAUGUCGGAUUAGCUAGUUGGCGGGGUAAAGGCCCACCAAGGCAACGAUCCGUAGGUGGUCUGAGAGGAUGAUCAGCCACACUGGAACUGAGACACGGUCCAGACUCCUACGGGAGGCAGCAGUGGGGAAUAUUGGACAAUGGGCGCAAGCCUGAUCCAGCCAUACCGCGUGGGUGAAGAAGGCCUUCGGGUUGUAAAGCCCUUUUGUUGGGAAAGAAAUCCAGCUGGUUAAUACCCGGUUGGGAUGACGGUACCCAAAGAAUAAGCACCGGCUAACUUCGUGCCAGCCGCCGCGGUAA
Molecule: ribosomal RNA, 506 nt
Filed under: uncultured bacterium
Lineage: Bacteria
Description: partial 16S ribosomal RNA
Rfam family: Bacterial small subunit ribosomal RNA
Source: RNAcentral